RNAcentral lists this ribosomal RNA (1929 nucleotides) under human gut metagenome. RNAcentral describes it as "bacterial LSU rRNA". It matches the Rfam family "Bacterial large subunit ribosomal RNA", at positions 592 to 2524 of the family's 2925-position model. The record is from RNAcentral.
GGUGACUGCGUACCUUUUGCAUAAUGGGUCAGCGACUUACGUUUAAUGGCGAGCUUAACCGUAUAGGGGAGGCGCAGCGAAAGCGAGUUCGAACAGAGCGUUCAGUCGUUAGGCGUAGACCCGAAACCAGAUGAUCUAUCCAUGGCCAGGUUGAAGGUGUGGUAACACACACUGGAGGACCGAACCGACUAGUGUUGCAAAAUUAGCGGAUGAGCUGUGGAUAGGGGUGAAAGGCUAAACAAAUCUGGAGAUAGCUGGUUCUCCCCGAAAACUAUUGAGGUAGUGCCUCGUGUAUGACUCCAGGGGGUAGAGCACUGUUAUGGCUAGGGGGACAUGGCGUCUUACCAAACCAUGGCAAACUCCGAAUACUUGGAAGUUUGAGCACGGGAGACAGAGCACCGGGUGCUAACGUCCGGACUCAAGAGGGAAACAACCCAGACCGCCGGCUAAGGUCCCUAAUAUUGACUAAGUGGAAAACGAAGUGGAAAGGCUAAGACAGUCAGGAAGUUGGCUUAGAAGCAGCCAUCCUUCAAAGAAAGCGUAAUAGCUCACUGAUCGAGUCUUUCUGCGCGGAAGAUGUAACGGGGCUAAGUCAAUAACCGAAGCCGCGGAUUCACACUUGUGUGUGAGUGGUAGGGGAGCGUUCUGUAAGCCUGCGAAGGUGACUCGUAAGGGUUGCUGGAGGUAUCAGAAGUGCGAAUGCUGACAUGAGUAACGUUAAAGCGGGUGAAAAGCCCGCUCGCCGUAAGCCCAAGGUUUCCUGCUCUACGUUCAUCGGAGCAGGGUGAGUCGGCCCCUAAGGUGAGGCUGAGAAGCGUAACUGAUGGGAACAAGGUUAAUAUUCCUUGACCACCGCUGAAUGCGAAGGGGGGACGGAGUAUUGAAGAUCAUCCGGGUGUUGGAUAUCCCGGUUUGCGAGCGUAGGAGGCUGACAGGCAAAUCCGUCAGCGAAUCUCCGAGGCAAAGCAUCGAGCUCUCUUUUGAGCGAAGUGAUUGGAUGUGCUUCCAGGAAAAGCCUCUAAGCUCCAGUUCAGCGGGACCGUACCGCAAACCGACACUGGUGGGCGAGCUGAAUAUGCUCAGGCGCUUGAGAGAACUCAGGAGAAGGAACUCGGCAAAUUGACACCGUAACUUCGGGAUAAGGUGUGCCUUUGUAGCGUGGAGGGAGAAACACCCCGAGCGCGAAGAGGUCUCAGAUAAUCGGUGGCUGCGACUGUUUAUUAAAAACACAGCACUCUGCAAAGACGAAAGUCGACGUAUAGGGUGUGAUGCCUGCCCGGUGCUGGAAGAUUAAUUGAUGGGGUGCAAGCUCCUGAUCGAAGUCCCAGUAAACGGCGGCCGUAACUAUAACGGUCCUAAGGUAGCGAAAUUCCUUGUCGGGUAAGUUCCGACCUGCACGAAUGGCAUAACGAUGGCCACACUGUCUCCUCCUGAGACUCAGUGAAGUUGAAGUGUUUGUGAUGAUGCAAUCUCCCCGCGGCUAGACGGAAAGACCCCAUGAACCUUUACUGUAGCUUUGCAUUGGACUUUGAACCGAUCUGUGUAGGAUAGGCGGGAGCCUGUGAAACCACAACGCCAGUUGUGGCGGAGGCGUCCUUGAAAUACCGCCCUGAUUUGUUUGAGGUUCUAACCUGGGACAGUCAUCCUGUCCGGGGACCGUGCAUGGUAGGCAGUUUGACUGGGGCGGUCUCCUCCUAAAGGGUAACGGAGGAGUGCGAAGGUACGCUAGGUACGGUCGGAAAUCGUGCUGAUAGUGCAAUGGCAAAAGCGUGCUUGACUGCGAGACCCACAAGUCGAGCAGAUACGAAAGUAGGUCAUAGUGAUCCGGUGGCUCUGUAUGGAAGGGCCAUCGCUCAACGGAUAAAAGGUACUCUGGGGAUAACAGGCUGAUACCGCCCAAGAGUUCAUAUCGACGGCGGUGUUUGGCAC